UAGGGUAUACCAAGGGGAGCGAGAGAACCUUCGUUAAGGAAUUAGGCAAAUUUCCCCCGUACGUUCGCAAUAAGGGGGGCCUUUGGCGGUGAGCUUAAUCGCAAAGCUGCUGGAGGCCGCAGAGAAAUGGCUCUUCCAACUGUUUAACAAAAACACAGGUCUCUGCUAAGUCGAAAGACGAAGUAUAGGGGCUGACGCCUGCCCAGUGCUGGAAGGUUAAGGGGAGAGGUUAGGCGCAAGCCGAAGCUUUGAGCCGAAGCCCCAGUGAACGGCGGCCGUAACUAUAACGGUCCUAGGGUAGCGAAAUUCCUUGUCGGGUAAGUUCCGACCCGCACGAGUGGCGUAAUGAGAGGAGCACUGUCUCAACGAGGGACUCGGCGAACAUUGAAGGACGUGUGAAGAUACACGUGACCCGCAGCGGGACAAAAAGACCCCGUGAAGCUUUACUACAACUUGCCAUUGAGUUAGGGCUAAACCUGUGUAGUAUAGGUGGGAGGCUUUGAAGCUGGGACGCCAGUCUCGGUGGAGCCACCGUUGAAAUACCACCCUGGUUUAUUCUUGGCUCUAACCUGUCGCCGUUAUCCGGCAUGGGAACAGUGGCUGGUGGGUAGUUUGACUGGGGCGGUCGCCUCCGAAAGCGUAACAGAGGCGCCCAAAGGUUCCCUCAGGCUGAAUGGAAACCAGCCGUUGAGUGUAAAGGCACAAGGGAGCUUGACUGCAAGACCAACAAGUCGCGCAGGGACGAAAGUCGGGCUUAGUGAUCCCACGGUUCAGAGUGGAAUGGCCGUGGCUUACCGGAUAAAAGCCACUCCGGGGAUAACAGGGUAGUCUGGUCCAAGAGUUCAUAUCGACGACCAGGUUCGCCGCCUCGAUGUCGGCUCAUCACAUCCUGGGGCUGGAUAAGGUCCCAAGGGUUGGGCUGUUCGCCCAUUAAAGUGGUACGUGAGCUGGGUUCAGACCGUCGUGAGACAGGUCGGUCUCUAUCCGCUGUGGGCGUAAGGGAUUUGAGAGAAGCUGCCCCUAGUACGAGAGGACCGGGGUGGACGGACCUCUAGUGUGCCAGUUGUUCUGCCAAGAGCAUUGCUGGGUAGCUACGUCCGGCAGAGAUAACCGCUGAAAGCAUCUAAGUGGGAAACUCGUCUCAAGAUUAGAUCCCUCAUCCGUAUGGAGUAAGACCGCUAGAAGACGACUAGUUUGAUAGGCGGCAGGUGUAAGCGCAGUAAUGUGUUCAGCUUAGCCGUACUAAUGGUCGAGGGCUUACGUUU
This 1265-nucleotide ribosomal RNA is filed under the name metagenome. Its description in RNAcentral is "bacterial LSU rRNA". It matches the Rfam family "Bacterial large subunit ribosomal RNA", at positions 1672 to 2925 of the family's 2925-position model. The record is from RNAcentral.